GCUGACUCUCUUUUCAGAUUCAGCCCAGUUGCACCCAAGUAAAAUAAACAGUCUUGUUGCUCACACAAAGCCUGUUGGUGGACUCUCUUCAUAUGGACUCAUGUGACAUUUGGUGCCGAAGACCUGAGACAGGAGGACUCCUUUGGGAGACCGGUCCCCUGUCCUCGCCCUCUCUCCAUGAGAUCCACCCAUGACCUCGGGUCCUCAGCCCAGCCGAAGGAACUUCUCACCAAUUUUAAAUCGGGAAAUUAAAGCAAUGUGAACACCCUCUGGCCAGCCUGUUGGAGGGUGAGAGACCACAUGGAGGAGACAGAGCCCUGAUGUCCCAGCUGAGGACAUCCCAGAAAAGCCUAUUUCCAGACAACUGAGGACAGGUGAAUGAGUUCUUUGUAGAUGAACCAGAAUCCAGUCUAUCUACCUGCUGAGCACAGACAUGUGAGCAACCCCCCCAUCAAGGUCAACUGAGCCUGGCCCAGAUCAACAGAAUCACGAGAUGACCUAUGGACUCAGGAGCAAUCAUGAUGUGGUUGUUCCAUGACACUGAAUGUAGAGGUCGUUGAUUCUGCAGCACCAGCAAACUGACACAUAACACCGUGUUUAAUAUUGGGUUCUGGGCUUUGGGGUCCCUGCAGAGUUCCUGAUUUCAGCCCCAAGGGCUCAUUCACAAAUUUAUUACUCAGAUUCUACCCUGUCAACCCAGGACGUGUUACUUACACAUUUCCCAGUGUGGGCAGCAAGCCACCCAGGUGCCGAGGCAAGAGACCGAGGGCACAAGCUGUUCCAGUAUAAUAAAGAAAACAUAUAAAAUAAGAAUAGUUAUACUAGAUAUAGAUCGUAGAUAUGAUUAUAUAUGAAUAUUACUAAUCAUUAGUCUGUAGCAAUUACUCUUUAUUCCAUUAUAAUAAUAAUCUUCUCUCUACAAUUAUAACUUAAGAGAAACCAGGCCAUACAGAGAUAGGAGCUGAACGGACACAGUGAGAAAUGACCAGAAGACAAGAGUGUGAGCCUUCUAUUAUGCCCCGACAGGGCCACUAGAGGGCUCCUUAGUCUAGCGUUAAUGCCAGUGCCCGGGAAGAUGCCCGUUACCUAGCCGACUUUGGUCUAGCGGUAGCGUCAGUGCCCAGGAAAAGCACCCACUACUUAGCAGACUGGGAAAAGGAGUGUCCCUUUCCCCGGGGGAGUUAGAGAAGACUCUGCUCCACCACCUCUUGUGGAGGGCCUGACAUCCGUCAGGCCUGCCCGCAGUUAUCCAGAGGCCUGUCUCCCUGUGAUGCUGUGCUUCAGAGCAGUCACGCUCCUGGUCCGCUUACAUGUUCCAUCCUGUACACCUGGCUCUGCCUUCUAGGUAGUAGCAGAAUUAGUGAAAGUACUAAAAGUCUCUGAAAUGCAAAAAUAAAGGCAUAAGCUGUCUCCUUUCUCUCCACCUCAGCUGCCAAACAGGGAAGGGCCGCCUGUCCAGUGGAUACAUGACCCACAUGACCUUACCUAUCAUUGGAGAUGGCUCACACUGCUCACCCUGCCCCCUUGUCUUGUAUCCAAUAAAUAACAGCGCAGCCUGGCAUUCGGGGCCACUACUGGUCACUGUGUCUUGGUGGUAGUGGUUCCCCGGGCCCAGCUGUUUUUUCUUUUAUCUCUUGGUCUUGUGUCUUUAUUUCUAUGAUCUCUCGUCUCCGCACAUGGGGAGAAAAACCCACAGACCCUGUAGGGCUGGUCCCUACAUCCCAGGACUCUCUAUCCCACUGUGGAAGACUUCGC
This 1755-nucleotide long non-coding RNA is filed under the name Homo sapiens (human). RNAcentral's name for it is "HSALNT0398273". The record is from RNAcentral. Lineage: Eukaryota; Metazoa; Chordata; Mammalia; Primates; Hominidae.